Molecule: long non-coding RNA, 402 nt
Filed under: Sorghum bicolor (sorghum)
Lineage: Eukaryota; Viridiplantae; Streptophyta; Magnoliopsida; Poales; Poaceae
Description: long non-coding RNA (SBIC_LNC002354)
Source: RNAcentral
UAGGCAAACUGUAAAAUUAGUUUUUGUUUUCAUCUAUAUUUAAUGCUCCAUACAUGUCCCGCCAAGAUCUUUUUGAUUUCAACUAACUAAACAAGGCCUAGUACUACUACGCCCGUGACCCACUAUGGCUUGUUUAGUUUUGAAUUUUUUUUUGGUUUUUAGGACUGUAGCACUUUCGUUUUUAUUCGACAAACAUUGUCCGAUCAUGAAGUAACUAGGAUUAAAAGAUUUAUCUCACGAUUUACAGGUAACUGUGCAAUUAGUUUUUAUUUUGUCUAUAUUUAGUGCUCUAUGCAUAUACCGUAAGAUUCGAUGUGACGAAGAAUUUUGAAAAGUUUUUGAUUUUUAGGGUCAACAAGGCCUAUGCCUCGGGACCACUUCUGAUCGACUGCUCACUGCUUU